CAUUUGCGGGGGUGGCAGUUCAGGUAUUCUUGGAUUUACUCCAGCAAUGAGCUCCUCUCAUCCACAACACAUCACUCCGCCAGAGGGAGCCUUUCUAGUCCAGGGUACCUAGUGCACGGGAAGAUGAGCUUCAAAGUGCUUUGCAAUUGGGGUUUGUUCCUAAUCCAGCCGUGAACAAUCUUGGACAGAAUGGCAGCAUGAAGGCGGAGCCAUAAAUGGAAACAUGUAGAGAGGCAUUUGGAAUCUUUCCCCCGACAACCUGUAUUCAGUGCCAUUCUUUGGGAAGUCAGAUAACCGUGCCUGUUGAAAUCACAUGUUAGGAGUUCAGUUUUUAGGCUUUCAUCCAUAGUGUUUGACCAUUCACUUUGGCUAUUCGAUCUUCCUUCCUGUUGACUAAUAUACUGACACCUUAAAUAACUGUGCUUCUAGGAGGACCAAAGGCGGCAUGUGUUGCUUGUGCAGGUUUUGCUACGCUUUCUGUUCUGAUCGAGAAAUUUCUUGACAGACAUGAUUGGUUCAAUGGGAAACUUUGUAUACUGAUUCUUCUCGGCAUACUUAGUUGAGUUGAUAUUGUGAAGUGCAGAUCUACUCAAUUUUCCAAAUCAGUGAGGAUAUUCCUUAUUUUUCAACUUAAUCAUGAUUCAUUUGUUUCCCAAUUUUUUUAGGGCAUGUCACAAGCAACUUGUUACAGCCCUUCUGACGUGGUUUCUUUGGUCGGCUGAAUGCUACCAAAGCAAUCAAAUUGAUUUAAUGGUAUAGAAACUAUACAUGUAACAAUUUAA
This is a non-coding RNA of Nelumbo nucifera (sacred lotus), 782 nucleotides long. Lineage: Eukaryota; Viridiplantae; Streptophyta; Magnoliopsida; Proteales; Nelumbonaceae. The record is from RefSeq and is a predicted model, not a curated record.